UACGUAGGGUGCAGGCGUUAAUCGGAAUUACUGGGCGUAAAGCGUGCGCAGGCGGCUUCCUAAGUCAGAUGUGAAAUCCCCGGGCUCAACCUGGGAACUGCGUUUGAAACUGGGAGGCUAGAGUGCGGCAGAGGGGGGUGGAAUUCCACGUGUAGCAGUGAAAUGCGUAGAUAUGUGGAGGAACACCGAUGGCGAAGGCAGCCCCCUGGGCCAGCACUGACGCUCAUGCACGAAAGCGUGGGGAGCAAACAGGAUUAGAUACCCUGGUAGUCCACGCCCUAAACGAUGUCGACUAGUUGUUGGGGGAGUCUGUCCCUCAGUAACGUAGCUAACGCGUGAAGUCGACCGCCUGGGGAGUACGGUCGCAAGAUUAAA
Molecule: ribosomal RNA, 375 nt
Filed under: uncultured bacterium
Lineage: Bacteria
Description: bacterial SSU rRNA
Rfam family: Bacterial small subunit ribosomal RNA
Source: RNAcentral